This 403-nucleotide ribosomal RNA is filed under the name uncultured bacterium. RNAcentral describes it as "partial 16S ribosomal RNA". It matches the Rfam family "Bacterial small subunit ribosomal RNA", at positions 30 to 527 of the family's 1533-position model. The record is from RNAcentral.
AUUGAACGCUGGCGGCAGGCCUAACACAUGCAAGUCGAGCGAGCGGCGGACGGGUGAGUCAUGGAUAUGGACUGCCCGUUAGAGGGGGAUAACUAAUGGAAACGGUAGCUAAUACCCCAUACGUUCGGAUAACUCUUAUCGGAUUAGCUAGUAGGGGAGGUAAUGGCUCACCUAGGCGACGUACCCUAGCUUGUCUGAGAGGAUGAUCAGCCACCCUGGGACUGAGACACGGCCCAGACUCCUACGGAGGCAGCAGGGGGGAAUAUUGCACAAUGGGCGCAAGCCUGAUGCAGCAAUGCCGCGUGUAUGAAGAAGGCCCUAGGGUUGUAAAGUUCUUUCGGUCGGGAGGCGUUACCGAAAGAAGAAGCAACGGCUAACUCCGUGCCAGCAGCCGCGGUAAUUG